UCAGACAAGAAAAGUUUUCUUGGUGGGUUUUGAAACUUGCAGAAAAUGGGUGAUCAGAAAGACCAAAAGGACAUCAAGGUUUCGCCUGGUCCCAUCCCUGAAGGCUGGGUUUUGGAUACUAAGCUCACUGAAUAUGGUCAUCAAGUCGAGUGCUACCUAUGUCCAGCCACUGACCAGCGUUUCUACACUUACGAAGAUCUUAUGCGAUAUGUGAGAUAUGCCAAAGCUGCUAAGGUUUCCAUCUAUAGUCCCGUAA
Long non-coding RNA from Hibiscus syriacus, 256 nucleotides. RefSeq lists it as uncharacterized. The transcript is spliced from 3 exons. Lineage: Eukaryota; Viridiplantae; Streptophyta; Magnoliopsida; Malvales; Malvaceae. The record is from RefSeq and is a predicted model, not a curated record.